This 253-nucleotide ribosomal RNA is filed under the name uncultured bacterium. Its description in RNAcentral is "partial 16S ribosomal RNA". It matches the Rfam family "Bacterial small subunit ribosomal RNA", at positions 524 to 776 of the family's 1533-position model. The record is from RNAcentral.
CACGAACCCGACAAACGUUAUUCGGAAUUAUUGGGCUUAAAGCGUGCGUAGGCGGUUCUGCAAGUCAGAUGUGAAAUCCCCGGGCUUAACCUGGGAACUGCGUUUGAAACUACGGAGCUAGAGUACGGCAGAGGGGGGUGGAAUUCCACGUGUAGCAGUGAAAUGCGUAGAGAUGUGGAGGAAUACCAAUGGCGAAGGCAGCCCCCUGGCCUAAUACUGACGCUCAUGCUCGAAAGCGUGGGGAGCAAACAGG